RNAcentral lists this ribosomal RNA (396 nucleotides) under uncultured bacterium. RNAcentral's name for it is "partial 16S ribosomal RNA". It matches the Rfam family "Bacterial small subunit ribosomal RNA", at positions 523 to 918 of the family's 1533-position model. The record is from RNAcentral.
AUACGUAGGUGGCAAGCGUUGUCCGGAAUUAUUGGGCGUAAAGCGCAUGUAGGCGGUGCCUUAAGUCUGUCGUGAAACUGCGGGGCCUAACCCCGUAUGGCGAUGGAAACUGGGGUACUUGAGUGCAGGAGAGGAAAGGGGAACUCCCAGUGUAGCGGGGAAAUGCGUAGAUAUUGGGAAGAACACCGGUGGCGAAGGCGCCUUUCUGGACUGUGUCUGACGCUGAGAUGCGAAAGCCAGGGUAGCGAACGGGAUUAGAUACCCCGGUAGUCCUGGCCGUAAACGAUGGGUACUAGGUGUGGGAGGUAUCGACCCCUUCCGUGCCGGAGUUAACGCAAUAAGUACCCCGCCUGGGGAGUACGGCCGCAAGGCUUAAACUCAAAGGAAUUGACGGGG